CGGGACGGUAAGAACGGGGGAGGGUCGCAAUCCUCAGCUCGUCCCUUUCUCCACACUGUUACCGGGAGGGGUGAGUCAAUUCCUUUUUGAUAUCUUUUGCUCUAGUGCCUAUUUCUCAAAUAAAGGCUCUGUCAUUGCCUUCAUUUGUUCUACAGUAAGUCUGUACCGGUUAAACAUUUAUUAUGUGACACUACCUGCCUUAAGGUUGACAACUCAGUGAACGAUGCACUAACAACAAAAAAAGGUGAAGUUAAUUCCUUAACUGAAGUUUUGUAAUAAUAACAAGAGGGGUGAGAGCAAGUAAUUUUUAGGAAUUUCCUGCAGAAUUUGUAGGAAAUCGAGAUGAAAGAGGCUUUUAGUUGUUACUACCCACAUCUGGCCACAGCAGAUUUCUGUGAUAUAACCACAUUCAUUGCAGCACUGCAGUGUAAAUCCAUAGUCUUCCAUGAAUUUAAUCUUGAUGUCAGUAAGAGGAAAAUCAUGCCCACCAUUAAGAGCCAAGAUUUACCAAUAAUGUAAAACAUUUUAGUGUUGAACAGAGAAAAUUACUGGAGUGACUGAGUGUUUUUGACGUAUGCUGAACAUCCUCUAAAACAGAGGGAUCAUUUAGCACUGAACUGCUUUUAUUUAAAAGGAAAGGAAGAAAUUAGAGAAAAAGUAGCAUUAUUUAUGUUUGUUGUUUAUUAUUUUUAAUGAACCGUUUUUUUGCUCCCCAGAGCUUCCAACUCCUCUUCACACCCCCUUAAACUAACAUGUUACAGAACAGUGCUUGCUAUCUUCAAGACUAGUUUCCGCAGAAACCUCAGACACCAAGAUGGUUGAACUGGGACUUGUCUGCUUUAAACUUAUUUCUUUUAGAGACAAAUAAAAAAAAAAAACAAAACAAGGAAUAGUACCCUCAGACAACAAACAGUGCCCCAGAACUAUAAACCACUGCCUCAAAACAAGGAAAAGAGCCCAGAACAGGGCAAUAGUAUCCCAAACAGAGCAACAGUACCCAAAACAGGCAAAUGCUGCCCCAAAACCAAGGAGCAUUUCCACAAAACAAGGUACAUUCCCCCAGAACACCAAGGAAACCAAUCAGAAUAACUUUUUUAGGCUGAGGGUUUUUCCCCUGCUCUCUUUCUAAAAUGUCACAACAAAACCAAGUACCUCCAGGAAGCUAGAAAACUGGGAGAUUUUCUCCUGGAUUUCCCAUACAUUUUAAACCAAAAUGUGAGUUCUUUGGAGCUAAGCCAUGUUUUUUGCUCAGUUUUCCAGCUCCUCGAGCUUGUCCAUGCAAUCUGGGUCCAGCCUCUUGAUCUUCGUCUCUGUAGAAAGGAAAAAAUGUCAGUGCAAGAAGGAAAAACAUCCCUGGCAAUGGCAAAGUGCCACUGCUUUGGGGCUGCUAAAAAAAAAAAAAAAAAAAAAAAAGCAAGAUUUGUAUAGAGGGUUUAAGUGAAAAGCAUCAAUUUGGAUUAGGGUGAGAUGUGAUCUGGGCUCCCACACCAAUUUUCAUCACACAUGAGGAAUUAAGGUACAAUUUUUGAAAGAUGUUUUAUCCCCAAAACAACAAACAUUUAUACAUUAUUUUAAUCUAAAAAAUGGAAGAUUUGAAAGAUGCUCUAUUCUAAAAGCAAGCAACAUUUGGAAGAUGUUUUAUCCUUGUAAGACAGCCCUGUCCCUUCAGUCUCAACAUUAAGAUUGACUGCAGAGAAUGAAGAAAUAAGAUCAGAUAAUUGAGGUUACUCCACUUGUUUUUUCAUCUUGGAAAUCACACACUGGUCUCUUUUUGUCACAUUAAGUCUCAUCUUUGGGAAACAAAGAGAAAAGGGGGAAAAGAAAGAAAACUGAGAGAAACAAACAAAGAUUGAGACAACUACAAGGAACAAAGCUCAUUCAUUGGUAGGUUAUUAGGAAAUUACAGGGACCGCUCCAGGGGGCUCACCCUGCAUUUUAUAACUGGGAAAAGUGAGAAAAACACACCUGGGGUGGGAAGGGUGAGGGAAUUGAAUCACGGAAUAGAAUUGUUAGAAACCCAUAACAGAACGUGGAAGAGGAGGCAGCAGGGAGAAACAUAGAGAAGAGAGGCUGAAAAAGCAGAAAACAGGCCUGUUCCUGGUAAAAUGGGCAGGUCAGUUUGCUUAGCCCUGCUUCUAAUCCUUGCAGCCUGUUUUCUUGUUUUAUAUGAUUAUAUCUUAUUAAAUCAUAUCUUCUUAUCAAAGCAUUUCUCAGCUCUGUCUCUGCAAAGUCCCUCAAACGCUCCCUGUGUUCAUUUUUUUGCCUUUUUUAUUUUUCUUUUUUAGCCAAAACUAAGUUCUAGCUACUGCAGAAGUGAAAACUGGAUGACCAAGUGGCGAGCUUUUAGUCCUUGGCUGCACUGGAGGAACAGGGGAACAAGGGAACAGGGGGCACUCACGGAAAUGCUCCUCUAUGCAGCGCACAAGGUGCGCGCUGUGGCUGUCCACCAUAUUGAAGGCGAUGCCCCUCUUCCCGAAGCGCCCUGUCCGCCCGAUGCGGUGCAAGUAGGUCUCAAAAUCUGGCUGCUUCUGACGGUUGAUGGGAAGGCCGAAGUUCACCACAAUUGUGACUUGGGCCACAUCAAUCCCUGAGUGACAGAGGAUUCUCAAAAAGAGCUUUCUACCACCCUAAAAGCCACCUCCCAACCCCUUCCGAAGGCUGCUUCUUAAUUGCUGUGCACAUUGGACAAGAUUGCUGCUUCACUUGCAUUUCUGAUCACUUUUUCUCUCAAAUUCCCAUUCUAAUCCCUCUUUCCUUGCCUUUCUGACCAAUUUUUCCUUGCAUUUCUGAUCAUUUUUUUCUUUUUGUGAUCACUUUUAACUUGCAUUAAUCAUCCCUUUUGCCUUUGAGUCCCCAUUGUGAUAAAUUCUUCCCAAUUCACAGAAUCACAUUGACAAAAGCCUCAUCUUUUGUGAUAAAGUUCUGCCUGUCACUGCAUGGCUGGAAACUUGAAGCAUGACACCUAAGUGCUUAAAACUGUUCAAAGUGAAGGGAUUUCCACAUGACAAGGCUCAGAGCAAAGGAAUUUUCAUAGGAGAUGCAAGCAGAUUUCCACCCUUCAGCGUGUCUGUUUUUGGGACUGACCUCUUGCACAGACAUUGGUGGUGAUGAGAACCUUCUCCUUGCCGUCACGAAACCUCUGGAUGACGUCAGCUCUCUGCACGAUGGACAGCUCUGCUGUCAGCAUGGCCACUUGGUGCCCGUCCUGAAUCAUCUUCACUGAGAGCCAGUCUGCACUCCGGCGGGUCUGCAUAAGUGGGAAAAGGCUGAACUUCCCUAGCAGUUCUGCAUCUGCUGGUCUCAAUCAGUGACCCUUCAACUUCCCCAAGUCCUUACUACCGCUCCUCUAGCUUAAUGCCAAUACAUCACUUUACCAAAUCCUUGCUUGCUCAGUGCCAGUCCUUCACAUUCCCAAUGCCUAUGCUCCUUUCCAUUGAGCCCCUGGUGCUUUGGAAUGUGCAGAGCCUCAAAACAAGGCAAAAACAAGCAAGAAGUUGGGACACAAAGUGCCUUUGUUAGGACACAAAGGAGCAAAAAUGAUGCAGCAGGGCAAGAAGUUGGAUCACAAAGUGCCUUUGCGAGACACAAAGUAUAAAUGUUGAGGAAACAGAGCAUGGUUUCCAUGCAAUGCCCACCAUGGCAGUUAAGUAAACGUGGUCUCAACUAUUAGGCACUGUUACCACACUGAGUUUUAAAUACUGUAUGCUUCCCAUCCCUCCCUUGCAUUCACUGUAGCAAUCUGUAGAGCCGCAAAGGUCACUCUUGGGUUGACCAUGCCAGACAGAUCACUAGUUACUCACUGCUUGCAGAUGAGAUGUACCUGGCAGAAGAUCAUGGCCUGGCCAAUGGUGAUGCUGCCAUAAAGGUUGCAGAGGGCCUCGUACUUCUGCUCCCAGUUCCUGCAGACAAAAUAGUACUGCCUAAUGUUGGUCAGAGUGAGCUCCUCCUGUCGCAGCUUGAUGAUGAUGGGCCUGGAGACAAUCUGCAGGGCAAAUUUCCAGAGAGUUUCCUUGAAGGUGGCGGAGAAAAGCAGCAUCUGGCAGUCCUUGGGGAGAGCCCUGAGGCAGAAGAAGAGCUUGUCAGACCUAGCAGCUCAUUAGCACUAAGGAUUCAUUAAAAAGAGGAACUACAUAGCACUGUGGACUCGAGUACUGACAGUUUGUUAGCCCAUGGAAUUCAUUAGCAUUGAGGACUCAUUUACACUAGGAACCUAUAGAUUAGCACUUUUUGGUGAAAAUUUUACAAUUUAACAAUGAAUGCAAGUCUUAUGGGAAAAAACAAACACAUUUUGGAGAAAGCAAGCCCUUUGUGAAAAAUCUUACCUUCUUCCUCUCUCCUUUUGCAUUUUCCCAUGCCAAAAGCAGAUUUCCAUGACUCACCUCUGGAUGCGGAUACUCUGGGAGGAGAAUCCCUGCGUGUCAAUCAUGACGUCAGCCUCGUCCAGCACAAACAUGCAGAUCCUCCUCAUGUUGAGCAGUCUCCGCUUGAAGCACCAGUCCAGCAUGGUGCCCGGUGUGCCGAUGACAAUCUGCUCCUCCAGCACAGUGCCUGGGGACACUGCCGGAGAGGGUGCAAAAGAAGGGAAAGAGAGGGGCAAAGGGUGCCAAAAAAGGGAGAAAGACACAGGCAAGUGGUGAGCAAAAGGGAGAUUGGUGAGGGGCAGGAAAAAAAUGUAGGAAAGAGAUGGGAAUGAAAACAAGAAAAGGGAUGGACAAGGAACAAGCAUGGAACAGUAAAGAAAUGGACAAGGAAGAAAGAAGGCAUGAACAAGGCAUGGGCAAGGAAUGGGCAAAGCAAUGUGCAAAGGGGUUUCCAGUGGGAUACAGACUCAACAAAUUAUGUGUUUCUGUCAGUUUGAUCAUGUUUGUCCCUCACUUCCUCAGCUCCAAAGAGGAGCUCUAUCACAGGUACCAAUUUUUGAGGUUGGUGCUUCCCUGCAGCUUUUUGAGGUUAGAUACCAGCAAAAUGGGUGUCUGUGUCAAAAAGAAGCCAGUGGUCAUCAGGGUGGCUCCUUAGCAGCAGCACACGUGAAUGCAGGCUCCUUCAGCAAGCUGUGCUUUAGGGCACUUUAGGGCUUAUGGAGCAUCCCUAUGUUCACUUAGGGAUUGCUAGCUGCUGUAAUCACUCAUCAGGGCUGGACUAACCUCUGUUGCCCUGCACAGCGUAGGUGACCCUGAUGUCAUUGCAGAACCGCCCCAUCUUCUCUGCCACAUGGCCAAUCUGCAGGGCCAGCUCAUAGGUAGGAGCCAGACAAAGGCACUGGGGAGGGGAGAGAGGUAUUAGGCAGCAGCCAGGCAUCAAAAAGCACUGAAAAGUAUAAAUAAGCAGCAACCAGGAAGCUGCAGAUUAUAACGAGCAUCAAUUAGGAUGUUUAAUAUUAGAGACUUCAAUAAACUGUAACCAGGAUGCUCAGGAUCACAGUGAGCAGUAACCAGGAUGCUUGAGUUUAUGAUGAGCAGCAAUAAUGAUGCUUGAGCUUAUGAGGAGAAGCAAUGACAAUACUUGAGACUAUAAUGAACAGCAAUUAGAAAAUGGAGACAAACCCAGAGCUCUGCCUGCAGACACCCCAAAGCCAUACAUAACAGGAGCAAACCCAGAUCUCCGCCCUCUUCCAGUGGCUGUGCCCCUGCUGUAUACCUGCGGGUACCUCUCAGCACCUUUCACUCUGCUCAGCAUUGCCAGGACAAAUGCUGCUGUUUUCCCUGUCCCGGACUGGCUCUGUGCAAUCAGAUUUUGGGGUCUGCAAGGGAAAUGUUAGCAGUAAAAGUCUGGGUCUCUGUGCCAGCACCUCACAGGGGAUGCAGAAGUCUGAGGCUGGUUUAUCCCUUCCUGCGAGCUCAGGACUCACGGAUGUGCCAUCAAGAUGGGCAGAGCAUUCGCCUGGAUCUUCGAUGGCCUGUUGAAGCCCAUGGUGUACACGCCUUGUAAAAGCUCCUUUUUCCUGUGAAAAAGCACAACCCGGGGCAUUGUAUAGGAACUGGGGUGUGUGAGGCCAGGUGCUGGGGAACUCACAGGUGCAGCUCCUCAAAGGUUCUGAUGGAGAAGAGUGGGGAGGAGGGGUCCUGCUGCAACACCUCCACGUGGUGGCUGUUCUCUACCAGCGAGGUAUGGAGCAGCUUGUUGAGCAGCGAACUCUCAGCCAGGUCUUCUGCAAAGUGGGGACAAAUGUGCAUUUGUGAAAAUGCACAAAACAAAUUCACAAAUUGAAUUUGUGAAAAGAAUGGAUAAAUUUGUGAGAAGAAUGUAAAACAAUGAAUCCACGAAAAAAGGGAUAAAUUAUUUGAGAAAAAAAGUAGCGUGAGAAAAACUGAUGAUGAAUUUGUAAAAUUCAUGAUAAAUUUUGAUGAAUUCAUGAUGAAUUCAUGAUAAAAUUGUGAGGAAAAAAAGGAAAAAAAAAACUCAUGAAGAAAUUGUGGAAGAAAAAUAUGCACUGGAUUCAGUAAAAAAAAAAACACCCCAAAACAACCAAAACCAGGAUGUAUCCAUGAAAAUUUCUUAGAAAAGAGCACCAUGAAUUUGUAAAAUAAGAGUAACAUGAAAAAAUGAUGACUUCUAGAAAAAUUUGUGAAGAGAGUGCAACAAAUUCAUGUAAAAAGGUGAUGAAUUAAUGAAAGUCACAAAAAAAAAGAAAUUUGAAAAAAUGUAAAGAAAAGUCUGAUUAGUUUGUAUGAAAAAAGAUUGUUAAAUAAUGGGUAAAUUUGUGAAAAGAAUGUGUAAUAGAAAGCAAUGAAUGUGUGAAAAAAAGGAUGCAUUCCUCAAAAAAAAGCAUGCUGUCAAAAACUGGUAACAAAUUUGUGAAGGAAUUGGGUGAAUUCAUGAUGAAAUAAAAAAACAAGUUAAAAUUCACGAAGAAAUUGGGGUGAAAAAAUGGAAUGCAUUCAUGAAAAAGAAACCAACAUGAUGAUACAAUCACUAAUAUGAUAUAGUGAUAUGAAAUAUGAAUGACUAAUAAUGAUAUAAUGAAAAAAAUGUUGAAUUCAUGAAAAAAAGUUUAAAUAAUUUUAAACAUACAUGAACUCAUGAAAAAACAGGAGAAAAAAUCAAUAUGUUUAAAAAUGAUAAAUUUGUUGGGGAAGAGAGAUAAAUUCGUGAAAAAAAAAAAGGCUGGAUUCAUAAAAUCUGUGAAACAAAGCAGUUUAUUUGUGCAAGAAAAUGAAAAAGUCCUGAAAAAGUGAUCAUUUGUAAAAGAAAAAAGUUUGUGAAAUAAGGGAUGACUGUUAAAAAUUUUGAGAUAUAAAGUCAUGUAUUUCUGAAUAUUUUCUGGAAAAAAGGAAAAAAACUCGAUGAGAAAUGAUAAAAAAGUCUUCCAUGAAUUAAUGGGAAAAAAAUGAUAAAUCUCAGAAAAAUUCAUAGGAAAAAAACCCAUGAGGUGGAAAAAAAAUCCAUGAUGAAUUUAAGAAUUUAAAAAUUGAAAAUUUAUGAAUUCAUAAAAAGCAAUAAAAUUCUACAAAAAGAAAGAGGGAUGGAUUUAAAAAAAAGUGUGGGGAAAAAAGCAAUUCAUUCAGAAAAAAAAAGAUAAAUUUGUGAAAAAUUCAUUAGAACCCCCCAAUUUUGUGAAAAAAAAAUCAUUAAAAAGAGCAAGGAAUUCAUGGGAAAAAAAAAAGUGAGCUUGUGGACAAAAGUGGUAACAAAAAAAAAGUGAUGAAUUUAUGAAAAAACUGGUAAAAAAAAACUAGAGUGAUUUUGUGAAGAAAUUGUGACACAUCAUGAAAAGUGUAACCAAUUUGUGAAAAAAGUGAAAAUGAAUUUUUGCAAAUUCUGUUUAAAGAAAUGAAUUUGUGUAGAAAAUGUGAAGAAUGGACAAAAUCAUGAAAAGUUGUGGAAGAAAAUGGAUGAAUUUUUUUAAAAAUUGUGGAAACGAAGUUGAAAAAUUCGUGAAAAAAAUGAAUUCAUGGAACAAUGGGUAAACUUGUGAAAAAUGUGUGAGAAAAAAGCAAUAAAUGUUUUAAAAAUAUUGAAAAAUACACCUGACUUGUGAAAAAAUAGUGGGAUAAGACUUGAAUUAAUGACAAAGCAAUGAAUCAUUAAAAAACUGUGGGGAGAAAAGUAGUAAUGAAUUAAUGGAAGAAAAAGAUAAAUUUGAAAAAUCAGAGUGAAAAACUAAUGAAUUCAUUUAAAAAGCGACAAAGUGGUAAAAAAGAAAUGAUGAAUUCAUGAAAUGAGAACUAUUUGUAAAAAAAUAUGUGUUAAAAAAAAAGCAAAUUGCUAAACGAAUUCUUGAAAACAGGUG
This 8230-nucleotide long non-coding RNA is filed under the name Gallus gallus (chicken). Lineage: Eukaryota; Metazoa; Chordata; Aves; Galliformes; Phasianidae. The record is from RNAcentral.